Molecule: ribosomal RNA, 800 nt
Filed under: uncultured Polymorphospora sp.
Lineage: Bacteria; Bacillati; Actinomycetota; Actinomycetes; Micromonosporales; Micromonosporaceae
Description: bacterial SSU rRNA
Rfam family: Bacterial small subunit ribosomal RNA
Source: RNAcentral
CGAGCGGAAGGCCCUUCGGGGUACUCGAGCGGCGAACGGGUGAGUAACACGUGAGUAACCUGCCCCAGACUUUGGGAUAACCCUCGGAAACGGGGGCUAAUACCGGAUAUGACACUUCACCGCAUGGUGUGGGUGUGGAAAGUUUUUCGGUUUGGGAUGGGCUCGCGGCCUAUCAGCUUGUUGGUGGGGUGAUGGCCUACCAAGGCGACGACGGGUAGCCGGCCUGAGAGGGCGACCGGCCACACUGGGACUGAGACACGGCCCAGACUCCUACGGGAGGCAGCAGUGGGGAAUAUUGCACAAUGGGCGGAAGCCUGAUGCAGCGACGCCGCGUGAGGGAUGACGGCCUUCGGGUUGUAAACCUCUUUCAGCAGGGACGAAGCGACUGGGUUUUCUCAAUCGUGACGGUACCUGCAGAAGAAGCGCCGGCCAACUACGUGCCAGCAGCCGCGGUAAGACGUAGGGCGCGAGCGUUGUCCGGAUUUAUUGGGCGUAAAGAGCUCGUAGGCGGCUUGUCGCGUCGUCUGUGAAAUCCCGCGGCUCAACUGCGGGUCUGCAGGCGAUACGGGCAGGCUAGAGUUCGGUAGGGGAGACUGGAAUUCCUGGUGUAGCGGUGAAAUGCGCAGAUAUCAGGAGGAACACCGGUGGCGAAGGCGGGUCUCUGGGCCGAUACUGACGCUGAGGAGCGAAAGCGUGGGGAGCGAACAGGAUUAGAUACCCUGGUAGUCCACGCUGUAAACGUUGGGCGCUAGGUGUGGGGGGCCUCUCCGGUUCUCUGUGCCGCAGCUAACGCAUUAAGC